GGGGGUCAUGAUAGACGGACGCACUUUGAGUUCGCUUCCUGUUUGGCUCGACUUUUCCUUCUUCCGAUGGUUGCUCCUAUAACUCAGGCUUGAAGUUUCUGUUAGCCCCGAGGUGAGAUAUGUGAUAGUAUAGAAAGGGAGUGUGGAGUCCCAUCCAGCGAAACCUUGAAAACAUCAUAUAUUGAGACAAGCUACCAUGAGAGGAAUACCCGCUAGUUUUGGAUUCGUAGACACCACUUAGCUUCCAUUAUCACUAGCGUCAAAUUCAUAGUCAUCACUAGCUUCUUGUUCCUGGUAGCAGCGAUUGCAAUAAGAAAGUACAAUUUUGAUGCUUCAUAUUUCUAACUAGAAAUAUUUGGGCAAGUAGAAGAAAGUUGCUUCACUGACAAAACCAGAAAUAACUAACUGAAUAAGUGAAAUUACUAGCUAAAGAACAUGUUAUACAACACUAAAGCAGGGUGUAUUAAUGCUUGAGGACAAAUAUAAUUAGUUAUACAAGGCACAAGACAAACCUUAGAAUUAAGGAUCUUCAGCCAUUCCUUAGACUUUGUUUACUCACGGAUCUUAGGACAAACGUGUUCAUUCUAUACAACUUUUAAUGUCCAUUUCUUAGAGAAAUGGAAAUUCUAGAGCGUUCUCCGUCCGCAAGAAAUGCCUCAGCUUUGGUAGCUUGCUAUGCUCCAGCUCUCUUCCAACACUUCCAACAGAGGAAAUAAGAACUCGUUGGUCAUUUCUUUCUCCUAGUCCUCUCCCGUCAUCACUUCUUCCUCCAGGCAGUUUCCUGUUUGCAAUAUUCGAAGAUUCAAAAUACAUGUUGCCGCUGAUGGAGAUAUCAAGUUUCUCAAUUUGCCAUGCUUGACUACUUCCAAUAUUUCAAGUUUACUGAAAUAGCCAUUCGGAAGUUGGUGAGAGCAUAGAGCGGUUAUGUUUUCAGUCCCAACACGGUCUAGUCAUUCCAGGCUCAAAAGUUUGGAGGCCAUGCAUUUCAUACAUCUUCAAUUACAAAUAGAAAAAAUGGGACCAUAUCUCAAUAUCCUACAAUAAGGUAACAUGCAGAAAUCCAUCCAGUAGCAACUUGGUCAGCACAUUCUUUGAGCCAUUUCCGCUUGAAAGUACAUGUUCGCUCUUGCUCUUUCUCAUCAGGAGGCAGAUUCAAUAACCCAAUGAGGUGGUCUCAAUAACCUGGAGAUCUAUAUUCAUGCUAUAAGUAUUUGUUAGCAAAGAUACAGAGCAAAGGCAACCUUCGUUUGGAGGAAACGACCAGUUAUUGUGAAUCACAUCUCCAAAACAUCCAAUUAGUGGUAGUGCAGUCAAUUACGAUUAGCAUUCCAGCUGGCUGAACGUCGAGUAACUUAUAUAUUCUACUUUCACAAUAUAUAGUUUCUUUAAUGAAACUAAGAUCCAUGGUGAAAUCAUUUCAAGUGUUGUUUGUUCAUAUGAUCAAUUUUUCUAUCUGUCGUGACAAUACAUUUAAGCAUAAUAUUUAAUGCCGAGAAUUUGCAUAUUGACAAGUUCACAUAUAAUGGAUAUGUCAUCCAACAAUAUUGGAAAUGAUGCAAUGGAGCUACCAUAGCAAGAUAUUGAGUUUACUCAUUCCAACAAUUAAAUAGACUUUGACCGAAACAUUGAUUUAGUAAAUUCAUCUAAUAAUUAAUCUUUCUCGAAACUGGUUCGGCAGUCCCAAUACUAGUCAAAGAAUUCUAUGCUAUUAAAAAUCUCCUCCCGAAGCUACUGCCAGAAUUUUAUGCUAUAAAAAUGUUAUCUUUCCUACUCCUACCAUACCACAUAUCCCGGUAAUAGUGACACUCUAGUCUGUCAAAGCUACCAGUACCUCUUCUUCCGUCGAUUUUCUUAAUUCAAACUCUCAGCAAGUAACUGUUAGAUCUACAAAAUUAAAGAUCAUGUUUUGAGAAAAUUUUAGGUGGAGGAAAACCUACAAGAGAGAUUAU
This 1949-nucleotide long non-coding RNA is filed under the name Capsicum annuum. Its description in RNAcentral is "long non-coding RNA (CANN_LNC000235)". The record is from RNAcentral. Lineage: Eukaryota; Viridiplantae; Streptophyta; Magnoliopsida; Solanales; Solanaceae.